RNAcentral lists this ribosomal RNA (253 nucleotides) under uncultured bacterium. Its description in RNAcentral is "partial 16S ribosomal RNA". It matches the Rfam family "Bacterial small subunit ribosomal RNA", at positions 524 to 776 of the family's 1533-position model. The record is from RNAcentral.
UACGAGGGGGGCAAGCGUUGUUCGGAAUUAUUGGGCGUAAAGGGCGCGUAGGCGGUGCGGUAAGUCUGAUGUGAAAUCUCCGGGCUCAACUCGGAGUCUGCAUCAGAAACUGCCGUGCUCGAGUGUGGGAGAGGUGAGUGGAAUUCCCGGUGUAGCGGCGAAAUGCGUAGAUAUCGGGAGGAACACCUGUGGCGAAAGCGGCUCACUGGACCACAACUGACGCUGAUGCACGAAAGCUAGGGGAGCAAACAGG